UGAAGUAUACGGUUUCAGAAAGUGGUCAAGAUGUUUCUUUGGAAAUUCGAAAGCUAAUCCUAGAAUUAUAUCUAUGAUCAUCAUCAUAUCAUCCUUACUAUGGAACAAGAGAACAACGCAAUAUAGUAGCUUUUGUAGUCACCAAUUAGAAAACUAGCUCAGCAGCAUUGUGCUAAAACGUGUAAACAAACAACAAGGGACUAGACUUCGCCAACCUUCCCUCCGAUAAGCUUUGUCGUUUUGAGAGAACGUCUUAUUCAGCGAUAAAUCAAAGUUUAAUAUUUCCGGGGACGACGGCCCACCAAAGUCUGGAAUGGCUGUAGGGUGCUUGUCCGCAGCUGGAGCUGUGUGAAUGGUUUGUACCAAAUAAACAAUGAAGGCCUAAGGCGGUGAAAUUAAGUUACAUGGGGGCAGAGAAAAGAAAAUUAACAUUGCUCAGAUACUUGAAAACAUUUAAGCAAUUUUAUAAGUACAUAACUUAGACAUUGAACUACAUAUUCUAAGGUUUGCUAGGUAAACGAAAGUCAUUAUAUGUAUCUAGUAUAUGGAAGAGAGGGUAUUAUUAUGAAUAAAAAAAAAAUUCCCAAAUUUAAUUAA
Molecule: long non-coding RNA, 597 nt
Organism: Bactrocera latifrons
Lineage: Eukaryota; Metazoa; Arthropoda; Insecta; Diptera; Tephritidae
Exons: 2
Source: RefSeq, a predicted model, not a curated record